GAUGAACGCUGGCGGCGUGCCUAAUACAUGCAAGUCGAGCGAACAGACGAGGAGCUUGCUCCUCUGACGUUAGCGGCGGACGGGUGAGUAACACGUGGAUAACCUACCUAUAAGACUGGGAUAACUUCGGGAAACCGGAGCUAAUACCGGAUAAUAUAUUGAACCGCAUGGUUCAAUAGUGAAAGACGGUUUUGCUGUCACUUAUAGAUGGAUCCGCGCCGCAUUAGCUAGUUGGUAAGGUAACGGCUUACCAAGGCAACGAUGCGUAGCCGACCUGAGAGGGUGAUCGGCCACACUGAAACUGAGACACGGUCCAGACUCCUACGGGAGGCAGCAGUAGGGAAUCUUCCGCAAUGGGCGAAAGCUUGACGGAGCAACGCAGCGUGAGUGAUGAAGGUCUUCGGAUCGUAAAACUCUGUUAUUAGGGAAGAACAAAUGUGUAAGUAACUAUGCACGUCUUGACGGUACCUAAUCAGAAAGCCACGGCUAACUACGU
This 496-nucleotide ribosomal RNA is filed under the name uncultured bacterium. RNAcentral's name for it is "partial 16S ribosomal RNA". It matches the Rfam family "Bacterial small subunit ribosomal RNA", at positions 28 to 506 of the family's 1533-position model. The record is from RNAcentral.